AAAGUUUUGAAAAACGUCGAAACAACCUCACAACAAAUAUUUUGUUGAAGAUGAGCAAACGUUAAUGGACGUAUUUUCAUUAUCCGCUUCUUAUUUAUUCGGAAAUUGGUAGUCAAUUCUGUCGCUAACGCCAGUAAGAAAGUGGCCAGACUCUCGGGCAAUUUCCUUCACACAAACAUAAAAUAAAGACUAAAAAUACACGAUGUUUUUAAGUCAGUACUGUUCAAAUAAAAAAAAUGGGUAUGUAAAUCAGUUCCCCAACACAGUGGAUAUUACGAUUGGAAUCAAUAACUGUAUCUUCAUCUACACCUGGAAUGCUAACUCUCAAGUAGUAGUCAAGAUUACCGAUCGAUAGUACCGAUCACAAAGGAGGAAAGCUACUAGAGGCCAGAAACCGUACCUAAAACCGCAAAUUCUCAACCUUCAAGCAAGAAAAUUCAGACAACAGAAUCGUUUAUAUGUCAUUGACAUGGUUCGAAUUAAAAAUAUAACUGCGAGACU
This is a long non-coding RNA of Dendroctonus ponderosae (mountain pine beetle), 501 nucleotides long. RefSeq lists it as uncharacterized. The record is from RefSeq and is a predicted model, not a curated record. NCBI's taxonomy places the organism in Eukaryota, Metazoa, Arthropoda, Insecta, Coleoptera, Curculionidae. The transcript has 2 exons.